GAUGAACGCUGGCGGCGUGCUUAACACAUGCAAGUCGAACGAUGAAGCCCAGCUUGCUGGGUGGAUUAGUGGCGAACGGGUGAGUAACACGUGAGUAACCUGCCCUUGACUCUGGGAUAAGACUGGGAAACUGGGUCUAAUACCGGAUACGACCAUUGCCCGCAUGGGUUGGUGGUGGAAAGCUUUUGUGGUUUUGGAUGGACUCGCGGCCUAUCAGCUUGUUGGUGGGGUAAUGGCUUACCAAGGCGUCGACGGGUAGCCGGCCUGAGAGGGUGACCGGCCACACUGGGACUGAGAUACGGCCCAGACUCCUACGGGAGGCAGCAGUGGGGAAUAUUGCACAAUGGGCGGAAGCCUGAUGCAGCGACGCCGCGUGAGGGAUGACGGCCUUCGGGUUGUAAACCGCUUUCGGUAGUGAAGAAGCGAGAGUGACGGUACCGGGAGAAGAAGCACCGGCUAACUACGUG
Molecule: ribosomal RNA, 467 nt
Filed under: uncultured bacterium
Lineage: Bacteria
Description: partial 16S ribosomal RNA
Rfam family: Bacterial small subunit ribosomal RNA
Source: RNAcentral